CAGUCGCCGCGGUAAUACGAGGGGGGCAAGCGUUGUUCGGAAUUAUUGGGCGUAAAGGGCGCGUAGGCGGUUCAGCAAGUCUCGUGUGAAAUCUUCGGGCUCAACCCGAAGUCUGCACGGGAAACUACUGGGCUUGAGUAAUGGAGAGGUGAGUGGAAUUUCCGGUGUAGCGGUGAAAUGCGUAGAUAUCGGAAGGAACACCUGUGGCGAAAGCGGCUCACUGGACAUUUACUGACGCUGAUGCACGAAAGCUAGGGGAGCAAACAGGAUUAGAUACCCCUGUAGUCCAUGUCUCUUAUAC
RNAcentral lists this ribosomal RNA (301 nucleotides) under uncultured bacterium. RNAcentral describes it as "partial 16S ribosomal RNA". It matches the Rfam family "Bacterial small subunit ribosomal RNA", at positions 509 to 807 of the family's 1533-position model. The record is from RNAcentral.